GCUCAGUUUUAUAAAAGUUAUAAAUCAGUUGGUCCAUGGACUUAGUAUAAACAGGUAGAUGAUCACAAAAGCACUGGUCCCACAUAGUGCCUGUAUUUAAUUACAGCAUUAGGGACUUGACUGAUUCCCAGGUAGAUGAGAGCCUGAUGCUUCCCCAUAGGUCCCAGCCAUACCCUCUCUUGCCUCCUUUCCCACCCCACUGGGUGCUCUGUACUAUACCAGAUGGUAGCUUCCAGAAAGUAACUAGCUUUUGCCUUCCACGCUGAAGAUGUUUCCUUUACUACUACAUUAAAAAUACAGCUUGCAUUUUAUAGCUUCAUUUCCUUCUAGGGAUUUCAAAUUUUUAAGUAAUUAAAAGCUAGGGAGUCAUAUACAAACCUCAGAGUGCUGUACAGCCACUAUUAGAUAUUAUAGUGACAUUGUUUAGCAGAAAAUAAAUUACCAAUAUGAUUAGAGUGGGAGAGACAUCAACACUGAGAAAACUAUCAAAAACACAAAAGAUGGCCACAUAGCUGGACAAGAUCUAUACUUUAAAUAUCUCAGAGUACAUUGUGCAUCUCUAUCCCAAUUCCAAAGGAGAAUUUUUUAUACCACAUUUCUCAAACGGACCAUGGGGAAGGGAAAUACUACCAUGGAUCAUGUCUGGGUUUGAGGAAGGAGAAACACACUGCCAUGGUGACACUGCAACUGGAAUGAGAGAUGUGUCCAGGAGGAAGUGUUUCAAGCAGCACCAAGAGCAAGUCUCACAAAACUGGAUGCAAAAAUGGUAUCUUCUCUCAGGCAUCUGUUGCUUCGCUGCCAAGGUCAGCUCUGCAAGCUAACUUCAUAUUUUUCACAUGGCUGUUCUGUGUUUCAGCAAUUUCUCUAGUGUAUUAAAAACAAACAGGCUCUUCUCCAACAUCAAAUGUGCAUGUCUUCUCUUUAUUUUUCUGCUUCCUUUUUAACCCUUACAACUGU
This 957-nucleotide long non-coding RNA is filed under the name Apteryx owenii (little spotted kiwi). RNAcentral describes it as "lncRNA (ENSAOWG00000002483.1)". Lineage: Eukaryota; Metazoa; Chordata; Aves; Apterygiformes; Apterygidae. The record is from RNAcentral.